CUUAUUUCAUUAUUUCAAAUAAGAUGUUUGAAACUUUUACCUUCUUUGCACCCAUCUGAAACUGGUUUCCCUGGUAACGGAAUCAGGGAUGCCGCCCCCCAAGAGCUGAACGCAGAAACUCUUACUUUGCUGAUCCCAGAAGACAGCACCGAAGGGGAGAGUCAGCAAGACUACAAUUCCUGGGAUCCACUGAAGGAGUAUCCUGAGAGUUGCUAUGCAAAGUGGACAAACACCAGUUGUCAGCGGAUGGUGUCAGGACUGAAGCAAGUCUGCAGCACCCCUACAAUCUGGGCAUGCUGCAAGCAAUUCCCAGUUUCUUUAGAAACUGCCUUUUGAGAAGGUGACACUUGAGUUUGGUUAUUUCGAGGAAAAGAUGUCAGUUCAGAGGGUCCUGGACGCAGAGGCCUGACUUCACAAGAUCCACGCUUGAACAGACUAAACUGGAGUCGCUGACAGUGCCAGUUACUGAUGUGCAAGCUUUCAUGAAAGCCCACCCUGAGACCAUCUACUCCUUGCCCAAGGCAUUCACAAGUAACAAGCAGCUGGGAAGUUCAGUGGUCAGCCAAAUGGGCCUAAAGUAGCAACUUCUCAAAGAAAAGUGUGAGCAGCACCGUGUUAACUUCCCAAAAUUAUUAAAGUCUCAAGAAAUUGAUAAAAACUCUUAAAAUUUGUUUAAGAAUUCUCAAAUUUGUUAAAUUCUCAAAAAAUGGCAUCUCGUUUAAUCCCUCAGGCCUGUGAGGCCUGUGAGGUAGGUAUUUUUAUUCCAAUUUUGCAGUUGAAAAAUGAUCCUGAGAGGGGCUAAGGAACUUGCCCAAGGCAUACACAAUUGAUAAGUAUGUACCUCACCCAGGGUCUGUGCCUGAUCUGGAGUUGAUUCCACGCAGCAUCCUUCCAGGGCACCGCAGUGCCCCGUGGGCUCCUUCCAGUCUGUAUUCUCAUUUCAAGUAGGAUAUUACUCAUGCAACUACAGAAGAACCUUUUAUUUUAAACAACAAAAAUAAUAUAGAAGUCUGUUACAGCCUACUUUUAACUCAUUACUAAGGUUUACCAUCACUGGGGUUUCUAAAUUACCUCUCUGAGGCAAGCAAUGUAUAAGGAUGCAAAAUAAUUAACACACAAUUUCUGAAAACUAUAGAUUCUUAAUACUGAAAAUAAAACCCACAAGUUUAUGCAACAGAAACCUAUCUUGAAAAAAUUAGACAUCCAGUUUAAGUAUCUAAAAGGGUCCAUCAAGGGUCCAUGAAAGAUUUUCUAAGAAUUGUGAACAGGACAGACAUCUUAAGCAUGGAGAUAGGAUGAUCAAUGAACUGAGCUCCUCAGGGUCCUGUCAAAGACUGAAUCUAAGCUAGAGCAAAACUAAGUGGGAAAAUGAGAUAUCAUUUCUUGCCUAUCAUUAGCAAAUAUUUUUAGAGAAACAACAGUGUGGUUGACCUGAGACAUGCUAGCAUUGAGCUGGCAUUGCUGUGCUUUGCUGAGGGUAGUAUAAAUGAACCGAAUAUUUCUGGAAAGCAAUUUGGCAGUAUGUAUCAAAGAUCUGAAACACCACUCUAUCUUUUGAUGCAGUAAUUCCAUUUCUUGGGAUUAAUUCUAAGGAAAGGAGCAGAAAUAAGGAGAAAAAAUGAUAUAUGAGCAUUUUGUUUACAAGGAUUAUAAUAUCUCAAUGUUCGAAAUAGCCUACAUACUUAACAAAUGAGAAACGGGAAAUUAUAAUAAACUCAGUGUAAAUUGUUUAUGAAUAAAUUUUAAUAAUAAAGAAAAAUAAAGUCAACUCAAUAGCAAAAACACCAAAUAACCCAAUUUUAAAAUGGGCAAAGGAUCUGAAUAGACAUUUUUCCAAAGAAGACAUACAAAUGGCCAACAGGUACAUGAAAAGGUGCUCAACAUCACUAACCGUCAUGGAAAUGUAAAUGAAAACACAAGAAGAUAUCGCCUCUCACCUGUUAGGAUGUCUAUUACCGAAAAGACAAGAGAUAACAAAUGCUCGCGAGGAUGUGGAGAAAAGGAAACACUUGUGCCUUGUUGGUGAGAAGGUAAACUGGCGCAGCCACUAUGGAGAACACUAUGCACAUUUCUCAAGAAAUUAAAAAUAGAACUACCAUAUGAUCCAGCAAUACCACUCCUGGGUGUGUAUCCAAAGGAAACAAAAUCAUUAUGUCAAAUGUUUCCGCUCCCACGUUCACGGCAGUAUUAUUCACAAUAGCCAAGGUAUGCAAACAGCCAAAGUGUCCAUCAACAAACGAAU
RNAcentral lists this long non-coding RNA (2242 nucleotides) under Equus caballus (horse). RNAcentral's name for it is "lncRNA (ENSECAG00000047804.1)". Lineage: Eukaryota; Metazoa; Chordata; Mammalia; Perissodactyla; Equidae. The record is from RNAcentral.